CGGCAACCACGUCCCCUUUUUUCCAUUAUUCACGCAAACCCUAACCCCAACAUUAAGAAAAAUUUUCAAUUCACAAUCUGCGAUCAUCUGCACUGGUUUUACUUUUUUCCACAGGUAUGUCGACGUUGUGAACGUGGAAGAUACACUGACGAAGAUGAAUACGGUGAAGAUCUGUGAAGCUAAAUUGUCAGUGUCCAUUGCCAAAUACAAUAAAGAUCAUCAGAAGUUUGAGGCGGUAAAAGGCAGGAAUGUUGAGAAGGAUUGGCGGCCGAAAAAAGACAACCAAACUCCAGCGUGGCAUCAACGGGCCGUUUAUAUAGCAAAAUUGUGGGAGGUGGAAGCAGAAACGCCAGCCAUGAUAACAAAAAAACAAUUCUGGUGGAUAACAAUGGUGCUACAUACCCUGGGCAUUGUGUAGGACGAUCGGUACUGGGCAUAGCUUGGAAUUU
Long non-coding RNA from Helianthus annuus (common sunflower), 449 nucleotides. RefSeq lists it as uncharacterized. Lineage: Eukaryota; Viridiplantae; Streptophyta; Magnoliopsida; Asterales; Asteraceae. The record is from RefSeq and is a predicted model, not a curated record. The transcript has 2 exons.